Molecule: ribosomal RNA, 621 nt
Filed under: Canariomyces arenarius
Lineage: Eukaryota; Fungi; Ascomycota; Sordariomycetes; Sordariales; Chaetomiaceae
Description: partial 28S ribosomal RNA
Rfam family: Eukaryotic large subunit ribosomal RNA
Source: RNAcentral
UUGACCUCGGAUCAGGUAGGAGUACCCGCUGAACUUAAGCAUAUCAAUAAGCGGAGGAAAAGAAACCAACAGGGAUUGCCCUAGUAACGGCGAGUGAAGCGGCAACAGCUCAAAUUUGAAAUCUGGUCUUCGGGCCCGAGUUGUAAUUUGUAGAGGAAGCUUUUGGCGCGGUACCUUCUGAGUCCCCUGGAACGGGGCGCCAUAGAGGGUGAGAGCCCCGUAUAGUUGGAUACCAAGCCUGUGUAAAGCUCCUUCGACGAGUCGAGUAGUUUGGGAAUGCUGCUCAAAAUGGGAGGUAAAUUUCUUCUAAAGCUAAAUACCGGCCAGAGACCGAUAGCGCACAAGUAGAGUGAUCGAAAGAUGAAAAGCACUUUGAAAAGAGGGUUAAAUAGCACGUGAAAUUGUUGAAAGGGAAGCGCUUGUGACCAGACUUGCGCCGGGCUGAUCAUCCGGUGUUCUCACCGGUGCACUCUGCCCGGCUCAGGCCAGCAUCGGUUCUCGCGGGGGGACAAAGGUCCUGGGAACGUAGCUCCUCCGGGAGUGUUAUAGCCCAGGGCGUAAUGCCCCCGCGGGACCGAGGUCGCGCUCUGCAAGGAUGCUGGCGUAAUGGUCAUCAGCGAC